UCCUACGGGAGGCAGCAGUCCGGAAUAUUGCACAAUGGGCGCAAGCCUGAAGCAGCCAUGCCGCGUGUCUGAAGAAGGCCUUCGGGUUGUAAAGUACUUUCAGCGAGGAGGAAGGCGUUAAGGUU
RNAcentral lists this ribosomal RNA (125 nucleotides) under gamma proteobacterium enrichment culture clone gang 1. RNAcentral's name for it is "partial 16S ribosomal RNA". It matches the Rfam family "Bacterial small subunit ribosomal RNA", at positions 337 to 461 of the family's 1533-position model. The record is from RNAcentral. Lineage: Bacteria; Pseudomonadati; Pseudomonadota; Gammaproteobacteria.